This is a long non-coding RNA of Poecile atricapillus (Black-capped chickadee), 310 nucleotides long. RefSeq lists it as uncharacterized. The transcript is spliced from 3 exons. The record is from RefSeq and is a predicted model, not a curated record. Lineage: Eukaryota; Metazoa; Chordata; Aves; Passeriformes; Paridae.
GCUGCUGAAAUCAACUGCAUGAUCCCAGAAGAUAAAUAGCCAGUCCUGAUGUCAAAACCAAGAUUUUGUACCUGAGGAUCCAGCAAAUAGGGAGAAAUGGCCAUGAUCUUCAUUAUAAAGUACCAACACAGUCAACUGCUCCAUUACAGGGAAGCACGUGAAAACUUGCAACUGGCCUAGCUUGAAAGCUGCCUUGGAAAUUUUACGAAGGCUCUUACUUUGGUAGCUAAAAAUGACCUUCAGGAAUGAUUAAUACUGUGUAGGGGUUGAUGACAUAAAUCUGUUAAAAUGUGCUUGAUGUACAGUUUCA